This is a long non-coding RNA of Clupea harengus (Atlantic herring), 531 nucleotides long. NCBI's taxonomy places the organism in Eukaryota, Metazoa, Chordata, Actinopteri, Clupeiformes, Clupeidae. The record is from Ensembl.
CAUCAUCAUCAUCAUCAUCCACUGCUGAGAGACAGUAGAGAGAGUCAGACGUGGUAUUGAUCAUCAUCAUGCACCCUGAGCUAAAGCAGGGACUCGAAGAACUGCAGCUGAUGUACACAUGCUGUGACUUCACACGUGAGCCACACCCUGACCGCACAAGUGUAUGUGUGUAGCACAGCACAUGUGUCAGUACAACAUGCUUGGCUUUUGUUUUCCUCUCCAUUUUGCCAAUGGGCAUAGCUGAAUAAUUUAUGCCGGAGGAACGUGCUGGAUGUUCCAGCCUGGAACACAGAACUACAUUGUUCAUAUCCUGGAUGGCUAGUGGUGAUGGGUGGGACGAGUGUUCAUCUUCAUCAUCUGUUCGUCUUCGCAGAGCAUUAUACCAUCAGAAGAAAUAUCGGUCUUCGCAGGGCAUUAUACCAUCAGAAGAAAUGUGAAGAUGACACCAAAGCAUCAUCAAGUGCUAUCUAGUUACUAGUUAGAUACUAGUUGCCCUAUAAAAAACAUAUUUCAUAAAGUGGCAAAUUGUUG